CACGCUUCCUCGUUUCGUCAUCUACGUUCAAUCGCUGCUCCAACCUCUCCAAUACGCUCAUACGGUUUCGGAUCUCAGUCACCGUACCUUUGAGAUCCUCCAUCGUACUCUCCAUCGCUCCGAUCUUACUCAUCUCCUCUCUCAGGUUCUCCACCACCGCCUCGACAUCAGAUUUCUUCCCUGGCGCCAUCUCUUCCCAGUAAAGAAAAUAGGCUCUGAUACCAAGUUGUUAUGUGAUACUUUUGAGAAAGAGAAAUGUUAUUGAUCUGAGAAAAGUUCUACAAGACUUGAGAGAAUUAUAUCCUGGGAUCUCUCCUUCCCUUUACAAGUUUGAUCAAACCUCUUGAUAUCUCUCACGUAACAACUCUCUCUCUAUAAAUAAAAGACGGAAAGCAAAAGCACACAUCACGUGGGCCGUUAGUCGUUAGCCGUUAACUCCAGCACACCAACGACGUUUAUUCCUCAUUCCUCGUAAAGCAUCCAUUCAAGACGUCACACGUGACACGUCCCCAUCCUCCAAAGAUUCUUGUCGAUCCAACUGAUCCUUUCCCUUUCUCUUUCUGCCGUACGUGUACAGUAUCGGAGGGCGUCGAGCCUCACUGCUAACAAGAACAUUAAGCUGACAACUUAUUAAUCAAACAGAUUUAAAUCAAAGACGAGUCACAAGGAUGCUUGUCUCUAUGAUUAACAGCCAAAGGAUUAGAGCUGACAACUGAUUGAACUCCCGCUAAUUAACCAUAACCAGAUCUCGCCGCGGAGUGAAGAUCAUCCGCCGAUCCUCCUUCCUCAUCUCGUCCUUUUUCAUUUUCAGUGCUCCUCCUCCGUCUCUCUGUUUCUCUCUUGCAUGGCGCCAUGGCGGUUGGGCUGAAAUUCAAACGGGCCGGGUUUAACCGUGUAAAAUUUUGAGCUUGGCCCAAGCUAAGCCCAUUUUAUGCAACAUAUCUCAUUCUCCACGGACCUUUGAAAAAAUAAAGAAAAUUCUAUAAGUAAAGUAAUUAGAAAUAUUCUAAUUUUAAUUAGAAAUAUUCUAUAAUCGUAUCAAACACACAUUAUUUUUCCAAAAAUCAACAAAUUUAAAAAAAAAAUUUCAAACCAACGUUAAUUCUUUUUUGAAAAAAUAUUAUUUUAUAUUUAAAUUUGGGUUUAGUAAUUAGAGAACGAGGGUUAAGGUAAUCUUUAUAUAUAUAAUAACGUUUGCCUCUCUCACGUUCGUCCACGUAGGCAUCCACGUAGGAAAGUCGAACGCUCUCUUGCCGCCACGUGUCACUUACUUAAACGCUUCGUACCAUUCUUUUCUCCUCCGCAAUCCGUUCUUAUUCUGCCUGAACAUUUUGCAUUAUUAAGCCCAUAGAAUAUUUUAUUAGAGCGUGAUAUGAUAUAUCGCGAAACGGUGCGUUUCGUAUUCUGUCUUUCAUCUGUCUCCCAUCUCCGCCGUAGGCGAUUUAGGGUUUCCAUCGAAACUGAGUAUUCUUCCUCCUGAUCCAGCGAUCAAUCGGCGCCGUAUCGACUAUACGCUUUCCAGCGAACUGUUCAUCUUCUUUUUACUGAUCAAGUAAUCAAUCGGUUAGGGAAACAUUGCUAUUGAAUUCCCUCUUUAAAUCCACCUUCCACGAUCUCUCUUCAAUUCCACUUUAGCUCUUCAAAGGCGACUGGUGGUUCCACUAUAAAAAGGUUAGCAUCUCUACAAUCUAUAGCAUCCUAUCAAUCUAUUAAAACAAAACAAUCUCCUUAUUUUCUGAAAAAAUGGCUAAUGCUCGAGUUUUCCUUCCUGAUUUGAAAUCGGGUAGAUGUUCUGAGGUUAGGUUAUUGCGUUUCUGGGAGGCAAGGAACAUCAAGCGAGGUGAUGAACUGAUGUCCGUGGAUAUGCUCCUGCUUGAUUCGAAUGUGACUUCAAGGUAUUCUCGGCUUUAAAACUCACAUAUUUAUCGACUUUUGAAAAUGCAAAAGACUAUGUUCAUAUUUAUGAGAUCUUUUUUGUUUCCUUUGUUAAUUUCGUUUCACUGUGUUCCUGUAUUGCAGCCAACAAACACUCACGUUUUCUAGGUAACUCUAUUAUUAUUAUUAUUAUUUAUUUUUUUGGGCUUAAACUCACUCAUCAUUCAAAUCAGUAUUAUUUUUUCAAAUAUUCAUCUUAGGCCAUAUAUAACUGGUGAGCUAACAGCUGUAAAGAGUCAUGUAAACGAUCGUCCAAAAGACAAAAUCCGUGUUAUGGCAACCAUAAAAAUAGAUAGUGACGUGUCUCUCACCUUGAGUGUGUUCCCACUAUCAAGUUGUGUCAUUUCACAAAAACUUGAAAGCUUUAGGGUGGAUACACGAGUUUUUGUUGCAACAAACUAUAAUCUCAAGAUUGUGGGAGGAAGAUUUUUCUAAAUGCCACAUCAGGAACUCGCUAUGACAAGGAGACUGAUGCAAGAGAGAGUUAUUUUUACAAUUUCUUCACAAAUGAUACUGGGAACAUAUCAGCAGCUUCUUUGUUGAGGGGCUUUGCAAAGGUUGAGCCUAUGAAAAUAGCGGAGCUUAACCAGUUUAUCAUCACUCCUCAGCCUCAAUCCAUUAAAUUUAUUUGCACUGGAAAGGUGACCGUAUCAAGCCAGAAAAAGGAUGGUGCUACAUCUUGGACCCUGGAGAUCACAUGCUUGGGAUCAGUUUCUCUCUCAGCGAAGAUGUUUGGAGGUGGGAAUGAGAAGGAGAACAACUCUGGCAGCAAAACUUCAACUGGUCUCAUACUGAAAAAAGCUCAGACCACAUCUGCCAAGGUGAAGAGUAUGCUGGAGCUGGUCACAUUAAUACGUGUUUGAAAAUGCUUAUGAAUCAUUAUCCCUGUUCCCCCUAUUCUCUGUAGUAUUUUUCAGAAGAUAUUAUAAAUUAAGUUCAAGUAUAAUCCAAUGGUUAUUUUACUCUUGAUUCA
Molecule: RNA transcript, 2908 nt
Organism: Brassica rapa (field mustard)
Lineage: Eukaryota; Viridiplantae; Streptophyta; Magnoliopsida; Brassicales; Brassicaceae
Source: RefSeq, a predicted model, not a curated record